GACGAACGCUGGCGGCGUGCCUAAUACAUGCAAGUAGAACGCUGAAGGAAGGAGCUUGCUCUUUCUGGAUGAGUUGCGAACGGGUGAGUAACGCGUAGGUAACCUGCCUGGUAGCGGGGGAUAACUAUUGGAAACGAUAGCUAAUACCGCAUAAAAUUGAUUAUUGCAUGAUAGUCAAUUAAAAGGUGCAACUGCACCACUACCAGAUGGACUUGCGUUGUAUUAGCUAGUUGGUGGGGUAACGGCCCACCAAGGCGACGAUACAUAGCCGACCUGAGAGGGGUGUCGGCCACACUGGGACUGGGACCCGGCCCAGACUCCUACGGGGGGCAGCAGUAGGGAAUCUUCGGCAAUUGACGGAAGGCUGACCGGGCAACGCCGCGUGAGUGAAGAAGGGUUUCGGAUCGUAAAGCUCUGUUGUAAGGGAAGAACGAGUGUGAGAGUGGAAAGUUCACACUGUGACGGUAUCUUACCAGAAAGGGACGGCUAACUACGUG
This 497-nucleotide ribosomal RNA is filed under the name uncultured bacterium. RNAcentral's name for it is "partial 16S ribosomal RNA". It matches the Rfam family "Bacterial small subunit ribosomal RNA", at positions 28 to 507 of the family's 1533-position model. The record is from RNAcentral.